RNAcentral lists this ribosomal RNA (241 nucleotides) under uncultured bacterium. RNAcentral's name for it is "partial 16S ribosomal RNA". It matches the Rfam family "Bacterial small subunit ribosomal RNA", at positions 524 to 766 of the family's 1533-position model. The record is from RNAcentral.
UACGAGGGGGGCAAAUGUUGUUCGGAAUCACUGGGCGUAAAGGGCGCGUAGGCGGCAUCGCAAGUGGAAGGUGAAAUCCCUCGGCUUAACCGAGGAACUGCCCUCCAACUGCGUUGCUUGAGGCCGGGAGAGGUGAGUGGAAUUCCCAGUGUAGCGGUGAAAUGCGUAGAUAUUGGGAGGAACACCAGUGGCGAAGGCGGCUCACUGGACCGGUUCUGACGCUGAGGCGCGAAGCGUGGGA